Molecule: ribosomal RNA, 671 nt
Filed under: Enterococcus faecalis
Lineage: Bacteria; Bacillati; Bacillota; Bacilli; Lactobacillales; Enterococcaceae
Description: bacterial SSU rRNA
Rfam family: Bacterial small subunit ribosomal RNA
Source: RNAcentral
UGCAGUCGAACGCUUCUUUCCUCCCGAUUGCUUGCACUCAAUUGGAAGAGGAGUGGCGGACGGGUGAGUAGACGUGGGUAACCUACCCAUCAGAGGGGGAUAACACUUGGAAACAGGCGCUAAUACCGCAUAACAGUUUAUGCCGCAUGGCAUAAGAGUGAAAGGCGCUUUCGGGUGUCGCUGAUGGAUGGACCCGCGGUGCAUUAGCUACUUGGUGAGGUAACGGCUCACCUGGGCCACGAUGCAUACCCGACCUGAUAGGAUGAUCGGCCACACUGGAACUGAAACACGGCCCACACUCCUACGGUAUGCACCAUGAGGGAAUCUUCGGCCAUGGACUACCGUCUGACCGAUCAACGCCUCCUGAUUGAAAAAGGUUUUCGGAUCAUAAAACUCUGUUGUUCCAAAAAAACAAGGAUGUUAGUAACUGAACGUCCCCUGACGGCAUCUAACCACAAAGCCACGGCUAACUACGUGCCAGCAGCCGCGGUAAUACGUAGGUGGCCUGCGUUGUCCGGAUUUAUUGGGCGUAAAGCGAGCGCAGGCGGUUUCUUAAGUCUGAUGUGAUGGCCCCCGGCUCAACCGGGGAGGGUCAUUGGAUACUGGAAGACUUGAGUGCUCAACAUGAGAGUGUAAUUCCAUGUGUAAUGUUGAAAUGCAUAGAUAUAUGG